AGUAAAAAAAAAAGCUCAACAUUCAUAACACCAAGUUAACUUAUACAUAGAUUUCUAAAGGAACAAAAAUCACGUUAGAAAACUAAGCCUAAUUGAAAUACAAUGUCAAAAUUUCAAGAUUCAACCAUAAACUCAACAUCCUGAAAUCCAAUGACAUUUUUAGCCAUCUUUUUGUGUAUACAACCUUAUCCUUCAAUUUCAAAAUUUUCUUCUUCUUCUUCCUUCAAUCUUUAAAUCCAUUUCAUUAACAACUUCUUCACAUAACCACUUG
This 271-nucleotide long non-coding RNA is filed under the name Lathyrus oleraceus (garden pea). RNAcentral describes it as "Pisum sativum (pea) long non-coding RNA (PSAT_LNC026128)". The record is from RNAcentral. Lineage: Eukaryota; Viridiplantae; Streptophyta; Magnoliopsida; Fabales; Fabaceae.